Molecule: ribosomal RNA, 442 nt
Filed under: uncultured bacterium
Lineage: Bacteria
Description: partial 16S ribosomal RNA
Rfam family: Bacterial small subunit ribosomal RNA
Source: RNAcentral
CCUACGGGAGGCUGCAGUAGGGAAUCUUUCACAAUGGGCGAAAGCCUGAUGGAGCAACGCCGCGUGCAGGAUGAAGGCCUUCGGGUUGUAAACUGCUUUUAUAAGCGAGAAAUAUGAUGGUAACUUAUGAAUAAGGAUCGGCUAACUACGUGCCAGCAGCCGCGGUCAUACGUAGGAUCCGAGCAUUAUCCGGAGUGACUGGGUGUAAAGAGUGGCGUAGGUGGCAUAAUAAGUAGCUAGUGAAAUCUGGUGGCUCAACCAUUCAUACUAUUAGCUAAACUGUUAAGCUCGAGACCGUUAGGGGUAACUGGAAUUUCUAGUGUAGGAGUGAAAUCCGUAGAUAUUAGAAGGAACACCAAUAGCGUAGGCAGGUUGCUGGGACGGUUCUGACACUAAGGCACGAAAGCGUAGGGAGCAAACGGGAUUAGAUACCCGAGUAGUC